UACGUAGGGUGCGAGCGUUAAUCGGAAUUACUGGGCGUAAAGCGUGCGCAGGCGGUUCGUCGUGUCCGAUGUGAAAGCCCCGGGCUCAACCUGGGAAUGGCAUUGGAAACUGGCGGACUCGAGUGUGGCAGAGGGGGGUGGAAUUCCGCGUGUAGCAGUGAAAUGCGUAGAGAUGCGGAGGAACACCGAUGGCGAAGGCAGCCCCCUGGGCUAACACUGACGCUCAGGCACGAAAGCGUGGGGAGCAAACAGGG
Molecule: ribosomal RNA, 254 nt
Filed under: uncultured bacterium
Lineage: Bacteria
Description: partial 16S ribosomal RNA
Rfam family: Bacterial small subunit ribosomal RNA
Source: RNAcentral